Ovis aries (sheep) is the source of this 73-nucleotide non-coding RNA. Lineage: Eukaryota; Metazoa; Chordata; Mammalia; Artiodactyla; Bovidae. The record is from Rfam.
UCCCUGGUGGUCCAGUGGCUAAGACACUGUGCUCCCAACAGAGGGGGCCCAGGUUAGACUCCUGGUCAGGGAA